AACGUAAAUGUGUUUUCCAUGUCUGAUGCGCCUUUCAGUGGGUGAUAGUCUAAAAAAUUCUGAAGAAAUUCACAUAAUGUCUUCGGGAGGGAUUGUAGGUUAUUUGGCUAUUAGAAAAGAGGGUGUCGACCUGAAAAAGGUUGGGAAACACUGUUCUAUACGUUGUCCGACGCGAUAGCUGGCAAGUCUCGUGGCAAAGAGGAAAGUCUGGCUAACGAGGGAGCCAAGAACAGCUUACUUGGCGGAGGCAGACCAUUUUCGAAAGUUCGCCGAGUUGUGUAACAAACUUUACUCAGGAUUGGUGGCCCGAAGGGACGGGUGGGGCUGGCAAAACGCGACAGACAGAGAAAGACCCAAAACCUCCUAUAUAGAAACAUCACUAUAUACAGGGUGUCGCAUACAACUAGAUCAAGAAAGAUUUAUCUAGAAUUUUUUAAUGUGUGUUUAUCUGGACUUUUUGAAUUUAAAUUUGAAGAAAUAUAAUAGAUUAUUGAUCUAAGA
This 501-nucleotide unclassified non-coding RNA is filed under the name Bombus terrestris (buff-tailed bumblebee). RNAcentral describes it as "misc RNA ENSBTSG00005038133.1". The record is from RNAcentral. Lineage: Eukaryota; Metazoa; Arthropoda; Insecta; Hymenoptera; Apidae.